AACGAACGCUGGCGGCAUGCCUAACACAUGCAAGUCGAACGAGACCUUCGGGUCUAGUGGCGCACGGGUGCGUAACGCGUGGGAACCUGCCCUUAGGUUCGGAAUAACUCCCCGAAAGGGGUGCUAAUACCGGAUAAUGUCUUCGGACCAAAGAUUUAUCGCCUUUGGAUGGGCCCGCGUUGGAUUAGCUAGUUGGUAGGGUAAAAGCCUACCAAGGCGACGAUCCAUAGUUGGGUUGAGAGGAGGAUCAGCCACACUGGGACUGAGACACGGCCCAGACUCCUACGGGAGGCAGCAGUGGGGAAUAUUGGACAAUGGGCGAAAGCCUGAUCCAGCAAUGCCGCGUGAGUGAUGAAGGCCUUAGGGUUGUAAAGCUCUUUUACCCGGGAUGAUAAUGACAGUACCGGGAGAAUAAGCUCCGGCUAACUCCGUG
This 433-nucleotide ribosomal RNA is filed under the name uncultured bacterium. RNAcentral describes it as "partial 16S ribosomal RNA". It matches the Rfam family "Bacterial small subunit ribosomal RNA", at positions 29 to 507 of the family's 1533-position model. The record is from RNAcentral.